Molecule: long non-coding RNA, 623 nt
Organism: Sciurus carolinensis (gray squirrel)
Lineage: Eukaryota; Metazoa; Chordata; Mammalia; Rodentia; Sciuridae
Exons: 5
Source: RefSeq, a predicted model, not a curated record
GCCACACAGUGUGUGAAGCGCUUCCCAGGACUUAUUAAUCCAUGUCUGACCCUGGGGGGUGCUACUGUCUUCAUGUUAUGCAUGACAACCGUGAUGGGUGGCUGUGGAGCCUAUUAUCCAGAGUGGCGCAGCUCGGGAAUGGCUGAGUUGGAACUCAACUCUGGUUCUGUGAUCCCAGAGCUCAGCACCAAACCAGGCUUGACCUGGCUGGUUUAGAGCAUUGAGAAGAGAGGUUUCAAGUGCAGACGCAGCCUUGGAGUGACAUGCUAGAGGAAGAGUCAUGAAUAAUAUUGAAGAUGAUUCAGCAUCUCCUGGUUUUGCUCCUGCACCACCCGAAGAGAAAAUAAUGCUGGGAAAAAAAAAAGUCCCUCAAAACAAACAAACAAACACAACUCUCCUGGGGAAUUUGAGAAUCCCAUCCGGGACCCACACCACAUUUAGUCAUCCUGUCUCCUGCGGCUUCUCGUGGCUCUGGCCACGAGACUCAGACCCUAUGUUUGAUGACCUGGACAGUUCCAGUGAACACCGGUCAGGUUGUUUUGAAGAGCAAAAGAGUUAAUAGAACACUAUCUGGCUUCUCUGAGCACCUUGUCUGCACCUGAUCGUAGCCUGGAAACCUGGAU